AUUGAACGCUGGCGGCAGGCCUAACACAUGCAAGUCGAACGGUAACAGGAAGAAGCUUGCUUCUUUGCUGACGAGUGGCGGACGGGUGAGUAAUGUCUGGGAAACUGCCUGAUGGAGGGGGAUAACUACUGGAAACGGUAGCUAAUACCGCAUAACGUCGCAAGACCAAAGAGGGGGACCUUCGGGCCUCUUGCCAUCGGCUGUGCCCAGAUGGGAUUAGCUAGUAGGUGGGGUAACGGCUCACCUAGGCGACGAUCCCUAGCUGGUCUGAGAGGAUGACCAGCCACACUGGAACUGAGACACGGUCCAGACGCCUACGGGAGGCAGCAGUGGGGAAUAUUGCACAAUGGGCGCAAGCCUGAUGCAGCCAUGCCGCGUGUAUGAAGAAGGCCUUCGGGUUGUAAAGUACUUUCAGCGGGGAGGAAGGGAGUAAAGUUAAUACCUUUGCUCAUUGACGUUACCCGCAGAAGAAGCACCGGCUAACCCCGU
This 489-nucleotide ribosomal RNA is filed under the name uncultured bacterium. RNAcentral's name for it is "partial 16S ribosomal RNA". It matches the Rfam family "Bacterial small subunit ribosomal RNA", at positions 30 to 506 of the family's 1533-position model. The record is from RNAcentral.